CCCUUAGAUGUUCUGGGCCGCACGCGCGCUACACUGAUGGAUUCAACGAGUGUUGUUCUUCGGAGCAGAUCCUUGGUCGGAAGGCCUGGGCAAUCUUGUAAAUGUCCAUCGUGAUGGGGCUAGAUUUUUGCAAUUCUGAAUCUCCAACGAGGAAUUCCUAGUAAACGCAAGUCAUCAGCUUGCAUUGAUUACGUCCCUGCCCUUUGUACACACCGCCCGUCGCUCCUACCGAUUGAAUGAUCCGAUGAAUAUCAUGGAUUGAGGAUGCAAGCAGGUUCGCCUGUCUUCAUCUUCGAGAAGUGAAGUAAAUCUUAUCAUUUAGAGGAAGGAGAAGUCGUAACA
Molecule: ribosomal RNA, 342 nt
Filed under: uncultured eukaryote
Lineage: Eukaryota
Description: partial 18S ribosomal RNA
Rfam family: Eukaryotic small subunit ribosomal RNA
Source: RNAcentral